This 538-nucleotide long non-coding RNA is filed under the name Drosophila guanche. Lineage: Eukaryota; Metazoa; Arthropoda; Insecta; Diptera; Drosophilidae. The record is from RNAcentral.
GUCUUUAUUCUUAAUUAAUAUUUUCUACACUAUUACCAGAAUAAAUUUGUUUUUAAGUUCAGCUGUAAGGAUAAUUCCUUGCCCAAAAUGUUAUGUUCUGAUUUAUUUUCUCUGCAAAUGUGAAAGUUCUUGCCUUUAAAGCACUCGCUGGGCCAUCACUAAAUACAUAAAUACAUACAAAUAUUUCAAAAUCAUAUUUAAGUCAACUAAUGCGCUUCCUUGGCAAGACGUUCAGUUAAUUUGGAACUGGGCACAUUUUCUUUGUCAGGUGCAGCUGCAACUGCUGCUCUGUAAAUCAACGAAUGUUGUCACAUUGCGCCUGUUAGUUGGUUUGGCUCGUUUUCAAUAUUUAAUACCCCACAAAUCGUCUUAAGACGAUAACCAACUGAAGCCAAGCCAAGCCAUGGCAAGUCGAGCCAACCCAGCCCCAGACCAAGCCAACUUAACUCAACCCAACCGAACCGAACCGAACUGAACUCAGCUCGAACGGAACGGAACGGGACGGGCCUGGGGCCUGGGGCCUGGCCGGGCCGGAUCG